UUAUCGAUAACAAUUGGAGGGCAAGUCUGGUGCCAGCAGCCGCGGUAAUUCCGCUCCAAUAGCGUAUAUCAACGUUGUUGCAGUUAAAAAGCUCGUAGUUGAAGUUUAGAUAAUUUAUUGAAAGUGUUUGUAUUCGUACAUUCUACUUUUAUGUAAGUUAUCGACAUCCAGGUGGGUGCUCUGAUUCCUUCGGGGGUUAGGGUACUAGACUGGUCAUUUACUGUGAGAAAAUUAGAGUGUUUAAAGCAGACUUUUUUCAUUUUGAAUAGAUUAACAUGGAAUAAUAAAAUUGGCUUUCAUAAUCCAUUUUUUGGUUUGUUUAUUAAAGCAAGAUUAAAAGGGACAGGUGGGGGGAUUCAUAUUCAAUAGCUUGAGGGGAAAUUCUAUGAUUUAAGGAAAAAGAACUAAUGCGAAAGCAUUUACCAAGGAUGUUUUCAUUAAUUCAGAACGAAAGCUAGGG
This 460-nucleotide ribosomal RNA is filed under the name Blastocystis sp. Its description in RNAcentral is "SSU rRNA". It matches the Rfam family "Eukaryotic small subunit ribosomal RNA", at positions 534 to 995 of the family's 1831-position model. The record is from RNAcentral. Lineage: Eukaryota; Bigyra; Opalinata; Blastocystidae.